AUGGCGUCCCGAAGGGCCAGACUGGACAAGGACCAGGAAAUCGGUCAGAAGACAAGUCUGAUGGGGCCUGAAGAGCCCCCCGAUCCUUCUGUCAGAAGAAUGAAGAAGAAAGAGUCCAGGAAGCAGGAUGUCCAGUUGCUGCUUGAUUUGGAACAAGGACCAGCUCCUCUCCCUAGGGGGUCUCUGCGGAAUGGGGUGCAUCGUGCUACUGCCCAAGAGUGGCAGCAAGAGGAGGAGGGUAACCCCAUCUGCUCCCCGUGCUCCCGUAGCUCUUCUCUAGACUCCAGGGGCAACUAUUUCCGAGACGGGAAAACCAAGAUUGGUGAGAAGUUGGUGAGAGGGAGAUGGGGCAACCCUUUAGGGCCCACGCCCCGACGGGGGCAGUCCAGGGAGGGCUUCUCUGCAUCCGUCCUACCUCUCCGUCCAGCCCUGCACACACAUCUGGCACUGGCAAGUGUCUCCUUCGAUGCCAUUCCAAUUUCCCCCUUCCCUCCCACGUCAUUAGGUCGAAGGACAAUCGCUUCAAUUCCCUG
RNAcentral lists this long non-coding RNA (533 nucleotides) under Monodelphis domestica (gray short-tailed opossum). RNAcentral's name for it is "lncRNA (ENSMODG00000042371.1)". The record is from RNAcentral. Lineage: Eukaryota; Metazoa; Chordata; Mammalia; Didelphimorphia; Didelphidae.